UACAGAGGUCUCAAGCGUUGUUCGGAUUCAUUGGGCGUAAAGGGUGUGUAGGUGGCGCCGUAAGUCGGGUGUGAAAUUUCGGAGCUUAACUCCGAAACUGCAUUCGAUACUGCGGUGCUUGAGGACUGGAGAGGAGACUGGAAUUCAUGGUGUAGCAGUGAAAUGCGUAGAGAUCAUGAGGAAGACCAGUGGCGAAGGCGGCUCACUGGACCAUAACUGACGCUGAGGCGCGAAAGCUAGGGGAGCAAACAGG
Molecule: ribosomal RNA, 253 nt
Filed under: uncultured bacterium
Lineage: Bacteria
Description: partial 16S ribosomal RNA
Rfam family: Bacterial small subunit ribosomal RNA
Source: RNAcentral